Molecule: ribosomal RNA, 492 nt
Filed under: uncultured bacterium
Lineage: Bacteria
Description: partial 16S ribosomal RNA
Rfam family: Bacterial small subunit ribosomal RNA
Source: RNAcentral
AGUGAACGCUGGCGGUAGGCCUAACACAUGCAAGUCGAACGGCAGCACAGUAAGAGCUUGCUCUUACGGGUGGCGAGUGGCGGACGGGUGAGGAAUACAUCGGAAUCUACUUUUUCGUGGGGGAUAACGUAGGGAAACUUACGCUAGUACCGCAUACGACCUACGGGUGAAAGCAGGGGAUCUUCGGACCUUGCGCGAUUGAAUGAGCCGAUGUCGGAUUAGCUAGUUGGCGGGGUAAAGGCCCACCAAGGCGACGAUCCGUAGCUGGUCUGAGAGGAUGAUCAGCCACACUGGAACUGAGACACGGUCCAGACUCCUACGGGAGGCGGCAGUGGGGAAUAUUGGACAAUGGGCGCAAGCCUGAUCCAGCCAUACCGCGUGGGUGAAGAAGGCCUUCGGGUUGUAAAGCCCUUUUGUUGGGAAAGAAAAGCAGCAGGUUAAUACCCCGCUGUUCUGACGGUACCCAAAGAAUAAGCACCGGCUAACUUCGUG